RNAcentral lists this ribosomal RNA (424 nucleotides) under uncultured bacterium. RNAcentral describes it as "bacterial SSU rRNA". It matches the Rfam family "Bacterial small subunit ribosomal RNA", at positions 356 to 773 of the family's 1533-position model. The record is from RNAcentral.
AGGGAAUUUUCGGCAAUGGGGGAAACCCUGACCGAGCAACGCCGCGUGAAUGAAGAAGUAUUUCGGUAUGUAAAGUUCUUUUAUUGAGGAAGAAUGGGUUAGGUAGGAAAUGACCUAACCGUGACGGUACUCAAUGAAUAAGCCCCGGCUAACUAUGUGCCAGCAGCCGCGGUAAUACAUAGGGGGCAAGCGUUAUCCGGAAUUAUUGGGCGUAAAGGGUGCGUAGGCGGUCUGUUAAGUCUAAGGUGUAAGUUCAAGGCUCAACCUUGUGAUGCUUUAGAAACUGGCGGACUAGAGAUAGAUAGAGGCAAGUGGAAUUCCAUGUGUAGCGGUAAAAUGCGUAAAUAUAUGGAGGAACACCAGUGGCGAAGGCGGCUUGCUGGGUCUAUACUGACGCUGAGGCACGAAAGCGUGGGGAGCAAAC